This 1196-nucleotide long non-coding RNA is filed under the name Suricata suricatta (meerkat). Its description in RNAcentral is "lncRNA (ENSSSUG00005013938.1)". Lineage: Eukaryota; Metazoa; Chordata; Mammalia; Carnivora; Herpestidae. The record is from RNAcentral.
AUGCUCAAUUUUCUCAAUUGCCUCAAAAGGUGGUUUUUUAGGCCAUGUUUAUUGCAUCUAGGACCCGAAAUGUAUCCUGAGGCCCUCCAGCCGCUCUCUCAAGAGUUCUGUUGGCCCACAGGUCCCACUGGCCGUUUUUCAUCAUUGGUGAAGUUGCUGACGCGUUCGUUCACUAGAGUUUGCCACCUCCUGGGUGCAGCCUGGGGGCUCCUGACGACGACACACAAGAUAUUCCUAUUGCGCAGGAGAGAACAACGGUUGUGGGAGUUCUGUGGGAGGAACAGUGCACAAUAGACAAAAACUAAAUAAAUUUCUUCUUAUACCGUGUUACUGAGCAUAAAGCUGGAAUAUGAUUCGCACCGUGAGCGAUCAGCUAAGAAAUUUGGAAAGACUUGCAGGAAAAAUCUCAAUAUCAUACAGAGAAGCAGAACUCAGUAUAUACGUUUUCAAGGUAAAUAGAACUCAUUUUCAUGGCCAGUUGACAGCAUCAUUUAUUGCAUAUAGUUUAUCCUAACUUUGCCUUUGUAAUUGGGGUGACCAUGUGUGUUCAUUUCCUGAUUUUAUCCAGAGGAAAAACAUACUUCUUUGAUUUGUAUGACAGGAAUGCGGGCAUGAGGGAGCCUAGGUGGCAGACGGCCUGUGUGGUCCUCGAAGGGAUGCGUCCAUGGGUGACAAAGCCCUUACACGUUCUCUAAGUCAAAUGAUACAAAAAAAUGGAUGGGGGAGAGUCUCUCCCCAGUAUUAACAGGGGGGACUAAGCCUCUUAUUUCUAAUUUGUAUUUCACACACCUGAAAACACAAAAGUGUAGAUGACAUUCGAGCAGGUGACAGACCUACUUAAGAUCACCUCCAUAAAUAAUCUUCCAGGGAGGGACAGGGGUCUCAAUGCUCUAGGCAGUCUGCUCAGACAUACAGACAGGUUACUGGUUAACCAGUAGUUUUCCCUUCUGUCCUGUGUAUAAACAGUUCUGAAAAGUCCCCUUUGACUCUGACAUUUGUUCCUUGACGAUAAGCUUCAAACUUCCUCCCUGGCGUACGUAGACCUUCUUUCCUCACUUUUCCUUCCAUCUGCAGAAUUCUGAGCUGGCUAAAAUUCCUGUGUCCCUCGAGUUUAUAGAUUUUUGUGCAGGAGAUAACACUCUGGUAAAUGGACAUUCAACCUGGCUUUGUUAGAAUCUGUGGCACUCUCAGGGCAC